RNAcentral lists this ribosomal RNA (484 nucleotides) under uncultured bacterium. RNAcentral describes it as "partial 16S ribosomal RNA". It matches the Rfam family "Bacterial small subunit ribosomal RNA", at positions 30 to 507 of the family's 1533-position model. The record is from RNAcentral.
AUUGAACGCUGGCGGCAGGCCUAACACAUGCAAGUCGAGCGGAUGAAGGGAGCUUGCUCCUGGAUUCAGCGGCGGACGGGUGAGUAAUGCCUAGGAAUCUGCCUGGUAGUGGGGGAUAACGUCCGGAAACGGGCGCUAAUACCGCAUACGUCCUGAGGGAGAAAGUGGGGGAUCUUCGGACCUCACGCUAUCAGAUGAGCCUAGGUCGGAUUAGCUAGUUGGUGGGGUAAAGGCCUACCAAGGCGACGAUCCGUAACUGGUCUGAGAGGAUGAUCAGUCACACGGGAACUGAGACACGGUCCAGACUCCUACGGGGGGCAGCAGUGGGGAAUAUUGGACAAUGGGCGAAAGCCUGAUCCAGCCAUGCCGCGUGUGUGAAGAAGGUCUUCGGAUUGUAAAGCACUUUAAGUUGGGAGGAAGGGCAGUAAGUUAAUACCUUGCUGUUUUGACGUUACCAACAGAAUAAGCACCGGCUAACUUCGUG